This 735-nucleotide ribosomal RNA is filed under the name Kosakonia cowanii. Its description in RNAcentral is "bacterial SSU rRNA". It matches the Rfam family "Bacterial small subunit ribosomal RNA", at positions 56 to 781 of the family's 1533-position model. The record is from RNAcentral. Lineage: Bacteria; Pseudomonadati; Pseudomonadota; Gammaproteobacteria; Enterobacterales; Enterobacteriaceae.
UGCAGUCGAACGGUAACAGGAAGCAGCUUGCUGCUUUGCUGACGAGUGGCGGACGGGUGAGUAAUGUCUGGGAAACUGCCUGAUGGAGGGGGAUAACUACUGGAAACGGUAGCUAAUACCGCAUAACGUCGCAAGACCAAAGAGGGGGACCUUCGGGCCUCUUGCCAUCAGAUGUGCCCAGAUGGGAUUAGCUAGUAGGUGGGGUAACGGCUCACCUAGGCGACGAUCCCUAGCUGGUCUGAGAGGAUGACCAGCCACACUGGAACUGAGACACGGUCCAGACUCCUACGGGAGGCAGCAGUGGGGAAUAUUGCACAAUGGGCGCAAGCCUGAUGCAGCCAUGCCGCGUGUAUGAAGAAGGCCUUCGGGUUGUAAAGUACUUUCAGCGGGGAGGAAGGCGAUGUGGUUAAUAACCGCGUCGAUUGACGUUACCCGCAGAAGAAGCACCGGCUAACUCCGUGCCAGCAGCCGCGGUAAUACGGAGGGUGCAAGCGUUAAUCGGAAUUACUGGGCGUAAAGCGCACGCAGGCGGUCUGUCAAGUCGGAUGUGAAAUCCCCGGGCUCAACCUGGGAACUGCAUCCGAAACUGGCAGGCUUGAGUCUCGUAGAGGGGGGUAGAAUUCCAGGUGUAGCGGUGAAAUGCGUAGAGAUCUGGAGGAAUACCGGUGGCGAAGGCGGCCCCCUGGACGAAGACUGACGCUCAGGUGCGAAAGCGUGGGGAGCAAACAGGAUUAG